RNAcentral lists this non-coding RNA (229 nucleotides) under Ureibacillus massiliensis. RNAcentral's name for it is "Lysinibacillus massiliensis T-box sequence". It matches the Rfam family "T-box leader". Rfam says of the family: Uncharged tRNA acts as the effector for transcription antitermination of genes in the T-box leader family. T-boxes are found upstream of many aminoacyl-tRNA synthetase genes and some amino acid biosynthetic genes usually in Gram-positive bacteria. Lineage: Bacteria; Bacillati; Bacillota; Bacilli; Caryophanales; Caryophanaceae. The record is from RNAcentral.
UUAUUUGCGUUGAUGGAGACAGUAUUUUUUGAGGGUAGAACUAGCGAUUCGAGGGUGGUGGAAGCUCGAACAAUGCGCUCGAAAAUGAAAAUCACUCCUGAGCUAAAUCGCUGAAAUGAGUAGGUGAUUUCGUCAUCACACGACGUUACAGUGUCUAAGAGGCAAGUUUAUGAUUGUUAAAACUUGCAAAUUAGGGUGGUACCACGAGAGCAAGCUCUUCGUCCCUUUG